UACGUAGGGUGCAAGCGUUAUCCGGAAUUACUGGGCGUAAAGGGUGCGCAGGCGGUUAUAUAAGACAGAUGUGAAAUCCCCGGGCUCAACCUGGGAAUGGCGAUGAAGACUGCAAGGCUAGAAUCUGGCAGAGGGGGGUAGAAUUCCACGUGUAGCAGUGAAAUGCGUAGAGAUGUGGAGGAACACCGAUGGCGAAGGCAGCCCCCUGGGUCAAGAUUGACGCUCAUGCACGAAAGCGUGGGGAGCAAACAGG
Molecule: ribosomal RNA, 253 nt
Filed under: uncultured bacterium
Lineage: Bacteria
Description: partial 16S ribosomal RNA
Rfam family: Bacterial small subunit ribosomal RNA
Source: RNAcentral